Molecule: ribosomal RNA, 260 nt
Filed under: uncultured bacterium
Lineage: Bacteria
Description: partial 16S ribosomal RNA
Rfam family: Bacterial small subunit ribosomal RNA
Source: RNAcentral
UACGUAGGGGAGCAAGCGUUUGUCCGGAAUCAUUGGGCGUAAAGCGCGCGUAGGCGGCCCUGUAAGUCCGUUGUGAAAGUCAAAGGCUCAACCUUUGAAAGCCGAUGGAUACUGCAGGGCUAGAGUCCGGAAGAGGCGGAGUGGAAUUCCUGGUGUAAGCGGUGGAAUGCGCAGGAUAAUCAGGAGGAACACCAAUAGCGAAGGCAGCUCGCUGGGACGGUACUGACGCCUAAGGCGCGAAAGCGUGGGGAGCGAACAGG